AUUGAACGCUGGCGGCAGGCCUAACACAUGCAAGUCGAACGGUAACAGGAAGAAGCUUGCUUCUUUGCUGACGAGUGGCGGACGGGUGAGUAAUGUCUGGGAAACUGCCUGAUGGAGGGGGAUAACUACUGGAAACGGUAGCUAAUACCGCAUAACGUCUCAAGACCAAAGAGGGGGACCUUCGUGCCUCUUUCCAUCUGAUGUUCCCAGAUGGGAUUAGCUAGUAGGUGGGGUAACGGCUCACCUAGGCGACGAUCCCUAGCUGGUCUGAGAGGAUGACCAGCCACACUGGAACUGAGACACGGUCCAGACGCCUACGGGAGGCAGCAGUGGGGAAUAUUGCACAAUGGGCGCAAGCCUGAUGCAGCCAUGCCGCGUGUAUGAAGAAGGCCUUCGGGUUGUAAAGUACUUUCAGCGGGGAGGAAGGGAGUAAAGUUAAUACCUUUGCUCAUUGACGUUACCCGCAGAAGAAGCACCGGCUAACUCCGUG
This 490-nucleotide ribosomal RNA is filed under the name uncultured bacterium. RNAcentral describes it as "partial 16S ribosomal RNA". It matches the Rfam family "Bacterial small subunit ribosomal RNA", at positions 30 to 507 of the family's 1533-position model. The record is from RNAcentral.